Non-coding RNA from Parelaphostrongylus tenuis, 71 nucleotides. The record is from the annotation of a GenBank genome assembly. NCBI's taxonomy places the organism in Eukaryota, Metazoa, Nematoda, Chromadorea, Rhabditida, Metastrongylidae.
GCCUCGGUGGUGUAGUGGUGGCACGCGCUCCCGGUAUGGAUGAAUCGCGGGUUCAACUUCCGUCUGAAGUC